UACAGAGGGUGCAAGCGUUAAUCGGAAUUACUGGGCGUAAAGGGUGCGUAGGUGGUUAAAUAAGUUAUGUGUGAAAGUCCUGGGCUUAACCUGGGGAUUGCGCCUAAUACUGUUUAGCCAGAGUACUGUAGAGGAAGGUGGAAUUUCCGGUGUAGCGGUGAAAUGCGUAGAUAUCGGAAGGAACAUCAGUGGCGAAGGCGACUUUCUGGACAGAUACUGACACUGAGGCGCGAAAGCGUGGGGAGCGAACAGG
This 253-nucleotide ribosomal RNA is filed under the name uncultured bacterium. RNAcentral describes it as "partial 16S ribosomal RNA". It matches the Rfam family "Bacterial small subunit ribosomal RNA", at positions 524 to 776 of the family's 1533-position model. The record is from RNAcentral.